RNAcentral lists this ribosomal RNA (506 nucleotides) under uncultured bacterium. RNAcentral's name for it is "partial 16S ribosomal RNA". It matches the Rfam family "Bacterial small subunit ribosomal RNA", at positions 29 to 523 of the family's 1533-position model. The record is from RNAcentral.
AGUGAACGCUGGCGGUAGGCCUAACACAUGCAAGUCGAACGGCAGCACAGGAGAGCUUGCUCUCUGGGUGGCGAGUGGCGGACGGGUGAGGAAUACAUCGGAAUCUACUCUGUCGUGGGGGAUAACGUAGGGAAACUUACGCUAAUACCGCAUACGACCUACGGGUGAAAGCAGGGGAUCUUCGGACCUUGCGCGAUUGAAUGAGCCGAUGUCGGAUUAGCUAGUUGGCGGGGUAAAGGCCCACCAAGGCGACGAUCCGUAGCUGGUCUGAGAGGAGGAUCAGCCAAACGGGAACUGGGAGACGGUCCAGACCCCUACGGGAGGCAGCAGUGGGGAAUAUUGGACAAUGGGAGCAAGCCUGAUCCAGCCAUACCGCGUGGGUGAAGAAGGCCUUCGGGUUGUAAAGCCCUUUUGUUGGGAAAGAAAUCCAGCUGGCUAAUACCCGGUUGGGAUGACGGUACCCAAAGAAUAAGCACCGGCUAACUUCGUGCCAGCCGCCGCCGUAA